This 160-nucleotide non-coding RNA is filed under the name Burkholderia gladioli. RNAcentral describes it as "BcKCsr7". It matches the Rfam family "Burkholderia sRNA 7". Rfam says of the family: Did not show any change in expression in iron-depletion and hydrogen peroxide (oxidative stress) treatment. Constitutively expressed. Lineage: Bacteria; Pseudomonadati; Pseudomonadota; Betaproteobacteria; Burkholderiales; Burkholderiaceae. The record is from RNAcentral.
GUAUGCUUGCGCCAUGAACCGCUUCCUGUCCGCCCUCCGACGUCGCCGCUCGCCGCACCUCAUGGCUGCCGCCGGCUCGUCACGGACGCACGCGUAACCCCCCUCUUCGUUACGCACUAGCUGUUCGAACCACCAAGCCACGGCAUUCCGUGGCUUUUUU